This 429-nucleotide ribosomal RNA is filed under the name bacterium. RNAcentral describes it as "partial 16S ribosomal RNA". It matches the Rfam family "Bacterial small subunit ribosomal RNA", at positions 355 to 776 of the family's 1533-position model. The record is from RNAcentral.
UGGGGAAUAUUGGACAAUGGGCGAAAGCCUGAUCCAGCCAUGCCGCGUGUGUGAAGAAGGUCUUCGGAUUGUAAAGCACUUUAAGUUGGGAGGAAGGGCAGUAAGCGAAUACCUUGCUGUUUUGACGUUACCGACAGAAUAAGCACCGGCUAACUCUGUGCCAGCAGCCGCGGUAAUACAGAGGGUGCAAGCGUUAAUCGGAAUUACUGGGCGUAAAGCGCGCGUAGGUGGUUCGUUAAGUUGGAUGUGAAAGCCCCGGGCUCAACCUGGGAACUGCAUCCAAAACUGGCGAGCUAGAGUAGGGCAGAGGGUGGUGGAAUUUCCUGUGUAGCGGUGAAAUGCGUAGAUAUAGGAAGGAUCACCAGUGGCGAAGGCGACCACCUGGGCUCAUACUGACACUGAGGUGCGAAAGCGUGGGGAGCAAACAGG